CAGCAGCCGCGGUAACACGUAGGGUGCGAGCGUUGUCCGGAAUUAUUGGGCGUAAAGAGCUCGUAGGCGGUGUGUCGCGUCGGCCGUGAAAACUUGCAGCUUAACUGUGAGCUUGCGGUCGAUACGGGCAUCACUGGAGUUCGGCAGGGGAGACUGGAAUUCCUGGUGUAGCGGUGAAAUGCGCAGAUAUCAGGAGGAACACCGGUGGCGAAGGCGGGUCUCUGGGCCGAUACUGACGCUGAGGAGCGAAAGCGUGGGGAGCGAACAGGAUUAGAUACCCUGGUAGUCCACGCCGUAAACG
RNAcentral lists this ribosomal RNA (301 nucleotides) under uncultured bacterium. RNAcentral describes it as "bacterial SSU rRNA". It matches the Rfam family "Bacterial small subunit ribosomal RNA", at positions 509 to 808 of the family's 1533-position model. The record is from RNAcentral.